GACGAACGCUGGCGGCGUGCCUAAUACAUGCAAGUAGAACGCACAGUUUAUACCGUAGCUUGCUACACCAUAGACUGUGAGUUGCGAACGGGUGAGUAACGCGUAGGUAACCUGCCUGGUAGCGGGGGAUAACUAUUGGAAACGAUAGCUAAUACCGCAUAAUAUUAAUUAUUGCAUGAUAAUUAAUUGAAAGGUGCAAUUGCAUCACUACCAGAUGGACCUGCGUUGUAUUAGCUAGUAGGUUAGGUAACGGCUCACCUAGGCGACGAUACAUAGCCGGCCUGAGAGGGUGAUCGGCCACACUGGGACUGAGACACGGCCCAGACUCCUACGGGAGGCAGCAGUAGGGAAUCUUCGGCAAUGGACGAAAGGCUGACCGAGCAACGCCGCGUGGGUGAAGAAGGUUUUCGGAUCGUAAAGCUCUGUUGUAAGAGAAGAACGGGUGUGGGAGUGGAAAGUUCACACUGUGACGGUAUCUUACCAGAAAGGGACGGCUAACUACGUG
RNAcentral lists this ribosomal RNA (505 nucleotides) under uncultured bacterium. RNAcentral's name for it is "partial 16S ribosomal RNA". It matches the Rfam family "Bacterial small subunit ribosomal RNA", at positions 28 to 507 of the family's 1533-position model. The record is from RNAcentral.